GUCUAAAUUCGUACUUUAUUUCUAACACUUACAGGUUUGUUUUGUCCCCGUUUCCCUGGCCCCCAAAACAACAGGCACACAGAUAGCGAUGAGUUAAGGGACAGUAGAGAACAGUUUCAAACCCAAACGUUUCCAACAGAAUCAGGUUAUAGAAUCAACUCAGACAGAGAGAGCCUCGAGGUCAAAAAACAGCAUAUUGUAAGCAUACUUCAAAACAGAAACCAAAGAAACGGAUACUAAAGCUCACAGAGUGGUGUUUGUUUCCUCUUUUAUCUUCACCACCGCCACCACCAUCAUCACCAUCAUCAUCAUCAUUAGGCUAUAUUAAAGAACACUUUUGGAGUUUACAUCAUAAAAUCGUGGGAGUUGUACAAUGCGGAGAAAAAGAAAAAUCAAAGUGAGAAGAUACAGUGGAGCUCUUUGGUUUUCACUAUUGAGGUUUUUUUUCUUUAGCAGUAAAAUCUAUCUUUGCUGUCCUCUUAACCUUUGGAUUUAAGCUGCAUUGUAGAAAAAAUAGAAAGGAAAAUGUUUCUUUUUUAAAAAAAUUUCUCCUAAAUAAAUCGACAAUAAUACGGGGCAAACAAUACUGACUGAAGUUAUUCUCUCAUUUAUUUUACUCUGUCUGGUAGUAGGCUAGUACUUUUUGUGUUCUCAAGGCCAAAACAAACAAAAGUAUUUCAUAUUUUCACGGUGACUUGAGCAGAGUAGUAAAAUUAACAUUCACAGCCACAGAAGAACUACAGUAGAAAACUGCCAAGGCCUGAAGUGCUCUUAUUAUCUGACAGUGUUUUCAUAUUAACGUCAGGCGCUGGAUAUCCUUUAUUUUAUCAGUUACAGUCCCUAACAAGAAUCCUGAAUGCUUAUAUACACAUGGAAUGACUGUGAGUGUGUGUGUUGUGUCGGUAGCGUAGCGUCUCGCUGCGGUAGUUUUUAACUUUGGUAUCAUUCUCAGUCUGCCGCAGCCGAGUGUCGCCACACAGGCACACAUACAGACAGAGCUGCACUGCUGUUGGAGCAAAAUAAACAACACAAAUGUUAAAAAUAUAAAGUUCAGUUUGACAUCCACGCAGCUUCCAAGCUCCACAGUGGACCGAGAAACACACUCGAAACAGAAAGUGUAUUUCAAGUAAAAACACAGAAAGCCGGAGCGUUUUUCUCCUCCGACAGCAGUGAUGAAUAUUCACACACCUCCAUCUCCACCAAACACAGCCGCUUCCUCCCAACACGCCGCUGUGUUAAAGCCAUAAGAACAACUGGUUCAUGGAAAUCUUUGUUUUUUUUUCUCUUUUCCUUCAUCAAACUAACUUGCUAGGGCCAGUUUCACAUCCCUCGCUCCUGAGUUCAGACAUCUUUUUAUUUUUUUUUCAGUCUUAUUAUUUUUUCGUCAUUAAAGCUUGAAUGUCUAUUUGGUAUUUUUCAUCAGAGUAUCAGAGGUAUGAGUUACAGCCCUCGUCCUGAAGAGGGAAUCAGAAAGCUUUUGUUAAAGAGAGCAGAGGAGGAGACGUGAGCGGAGGAAAGUCAGCCCAAAUGUUGGAUAUGGAACCAAAAGAAAUGUGACAAAAUGCUGACCAGUUGAACCGGUUUGGAGUGUGUGAAACUGGGCUGAACAGGUGACAUUUCAUACAUCAGUUCCCUUUACAAACGCUGACAGCACAACAGACUUGUUUUAUGAGGCUAAACUUGGACUACAGACAAAACUAAAUCAGGCUGCACCACUAAUAGUGAAGAUUUCAAGAUUUCAGACACAAACUGACUCAGUUUUAACUCGGCUCUAUUUGAUCAAAAACAAGCAUUUUUUUUAGAGUUUCGAUAAACUUUUUUUUAACUCCAGAACAGUGACCUGGACCAUUUUUGUCGACCAAACAGGACCUUCAUUAUACUUGUUUGGUUGUGAAAAAACAUCUUCUAAUCAGAAAUUUCACUGCAAGCAUCACAUGUUUAAACAUAAGGGCCAAAUAUACCAGUCUCAGGGGACAUUAAAUUCAGCCUCUAAUCAUAAAACUGCUCAUAUGUUUGGUUAUAACACGCUUCAGUUAUAUCUGGAUAAAUGAGGAUAUCAUUUGUCUGUAGCAUCCAGCUUCUGUUAUGCUAACUUUACUUAGCUACUCUUAGAAUAGUGUUUUGUAAAGAGGUUGCUAUAGUGUCCUAAGAUUAUGAAAUGCGAUUUCAAAUAUUCUAGUUUACAGUUUUUUUAAAACAGCAUUGUGCUUGUCAGGUCAUCUAUGUCGACGAUAUAGUUUAUUAGCUCUUUAAUUCAUCGGUCAAACUGUAUAUUAGCGUUGUAGGUGCCAUUAGUGACAUGUGAACUUUGGCAUGUUUGGUAUAAAUAUUUAAUAAUAGCUAAUAUCUACAUAAAAGCUGAUUCAUGUGGUGCAACCAUACUUAAUUUUGUGAUGUGUAAAUCUCCACUUCGCAAGUUUAAGAUAAUAAUAUGAUAAAGCUUCACAUCCUGGAAAUGCAAAUGACGUUAUGAUCAUUUUUAAAAUCAGGGCAACAGGGGAUGUAAAUGUCAUUAGCUGUGUUUCCAUAACAUAUUUCUAAAAAACAUUAACAGAAUUGCCUUUUUUUUUCAAACAAAUCACUUAAGAUGGUUUUGACUUUUUAAAAAAGGAGUUAAUGGUCAAAAUCUGAGUUGGAAAUGGAUUUUUCAAAUAAUUUCUAACUCAUUUGAUUUACAGAAGUUUUGUUCCCCCUGGCUUCUUCUAUUCUGUUUAUUACAGCCAUGUAGCCCACAGCGCCACCUUGUGAUGACACUAUGCAGACUAGUUUAUUUGCGCCAAUGCAUUUAAUGGAAACAAGACAUCUUUUUAUGUUUCAACAUUAUGUGCAACAUUUCAAAGGUUUAACUUUUCUCUAAGCUACGCAAAUCGCUUGACAAUUGUAUGGAAACACAGCCACUGACUGAAGAUUUUCGAUACUGAAAUCCACAAUAUUGAUAUUUUAGCAGCAGCUAUAGAAACAUUUUUAAGAAUGAUGCCAACAGUGAAAUUCACCUUGACUUUGGCACAUAAAUUACACUUUAAAUACGAGUUAAGUGAAGUGGAGAGAAUCUGUACCCAUAAUUAUACUGUAUGUUGUUCUGAUGUUACUGGACCUGGAUUAUUUACGAUAUUAUCAUUAUUAUCAAUAUUUCAUUCAUCAGUAAUGCUGCAUUCUACCGCAGUGACACACACUCCAACUUCUUUGUGAUGUUUGAAAUACAGGACAGCAAACUUCGAUAAAACCAGUUUUCUCUUCACAAAGCUAAUAGUAAAAAGUUCCUCCGCUACAGUUUCCCUGGUACUUUCUCUCUCUGUCUCAGGAAACAACAGUCUUUAGGUUUGGUUUUGCUUUGAAACAUUCGUUUGGCAUCUUCUCAUCUUGUCUUGAUCUCAAGAACACCCCUCUUUCUGCAGAUACAAGCCUCACAACAACCCCUGAAAAAACUAUUACAAAGAUCCAGAAAGACUUAAAUAGAAUCCAAUAAAUACAUAAAUAAAGGAUCAAUAAAUAAACAAGGUGAGAGACAAAGAAGUUCAUAAAAUACAAACAGACUAUUUUUCCCCCAUCCCCGGAAAAGCACACACCUCCCUCAUACAAUAAAUACAAAUAUUUUUUUUCCAACAAAGAGCCCGUGAGAGAUAAAGAGUUUUAAAGCUUUUGGUUCUUAAAUCAAGUCAUCGUCUUCGGUCAUCAUCAAAGGAUAAUAGUCCCAGCCUUUUUAUACAUGAGCAACAAGUAAGAGCAGUUGAACAUAUAUCAUUUCCUCCUACAAAACCUAGAAGAACUAAUGGAUACAUUCCCUCUAAAAGUGGACGUUAACAGCCUUUAAUCAGACGUCUGUACUCCCCACUUCCCUCCCCCAUAUCAUCUGUAUCAUUGGUUGCCUUCAGUAUCUGUGUCCAUUUACAUUAAAGCUUCUCUCUGUUUUCAGCCUUGCUCCAGUUUUCUCAUGUUUUUCUAUCACAGCGAUCAAUUCCAACAAGAAAUAUCAGCUUGUAGAGCUGCAUGUUCUUAGAAGAUUAGCUUAAAUCCAAAUAAAUGUUAUUGGUGACCAUUUAUCAAAGAAUACCGCUGGUUUUUAGGGCAAACAAAGCUCAGUUUUUUUGUCAUUUGUCAAGAAUCCAGAGCCUUUCUUUCCUGGUACAAUCAAGAAAAGUCUUGAAGACUUUUAGAAUUGACUCAAGACCUUUCGAAUAUUCUGUACGCAUUUGCUAAAAUGUGCAAAAGCAUACUUACAGAAUUUUCCCUCAUGGUUGAUUUAGAAUUUGGCUUUAAGUCAUAUGUACAGUUACAGACGGGUGACAUAUUAAAGGAAAAGAUGGAAUAGCGCUUUGUUAUUGGUUUACUGCACAGUACAGCUAAGCAAUUAACAUCCAAUAAUGCUCUUGUAUGGAUAAAAGUGUCCCAGUUGAGUUUGAUUUUGUAUCAACGUGGCGUGACUGUUGAAGACGGUUAAUUGUUGGGGUACAGAUGGCAGGAGCUUCAGUCACUGAAGACUGCCCAACUGGAUUCAAUAGAAAAAAGUGGCUCCAGGACAUCAGUUGGUAAUUGAAGUCGAUGGUGCACGUUUGAUGAUCAAGAUGCUUGUGCAUUCAUGGGAUAUGUAAGGAGAAAACAGAAAGGGAACUCUGCAAGUAGAGUCCAUCAACAAUAACAAAGAGUGAUAACACACAAGGUGGAUGCGAAUAGUUGGGAGCACGUCGGAGAGUGUGGUGUUGCAAAAACCACAAAGUUGUGGAAAGAAGUUUUAAAGUCAGUCCUUAUUUCCAGCCAGUGGGUGAGUGCAGGUGUUUCACACACCAAAAGAGGUAAAGGCCUGAAUGUUUGACCCCUACAGUGAGGAGAUCCGGUGGUUUUUGUUAUUCUGUAGCGGCCAUUUUGUCCCUUAGAGGGAAGAAUCACUGCAAAUCAAUACAAAGUUGUUCUGAGUGAUCACCUUUACCCUGUGAUGGAACCUUUCUGUCCUGGUGGGAGUGGCCUAGUCCAGGAUGACAAUGCUGCUAUCAGAGGGCGCGAGAGGCCACUGAGACAUGUGAUGACAAUUAUAUGAAUCAUUGAAUUUUGUCCACGGGAGAUUUUGGACUGAAGUUUUGGACAGCGCUUUGCACCACCAUCAUCAAAACGAAGAAUGGCGUUCUAUUGCUCCAGUAAAGUUCCAAACUCCGAGAACCAACGUAAAGAACCAACAAAACUGUUCUACACUCCACAAUAUAAUGCCUAUUACAUAUACAAUUUGCACCAAUCGUUUUGAGUUACAACAACUUCUAAUCAAAUUAUGUUCACCUAAACAAUUUCAGUGAGCUAUUGGAACUGGCAUUUCUUCUACAAUCAAAGGGUUUUAAGUCGAUUACAAAAAAAAUUAAGCUGGUCAAAGUCGUAUUAAAACAAUUAUGAAAACAAGAUUUUACGUUCGCAAAUUAAAAGAAAUGAACUUGCUCCAAUGUUAAUUUGGUAGGGGAGGAAGUCAAGAACAAUGUAGUCAUCAAACCAAUUUAAUUAUCUUAAUACAGAGUGACUGCAAUGUGCAGGUUAAAUUAUACAAAAUAUUAAGUUGAUGCAAAAUGACCUUAAUCAAUAAAUUAGACUUUUUUCUUUAUCUUACAACCAUGCAUUAAUGAAGUGAAUUUGAAUUACUUUAUAGAGAGCUGCAGCACUUUUCCUAUAAUUUGUCAUCCUUCUGUUUGUGAUCAUAAUCAAACGAAAUUUGCGCAUCUUAUUACUAAAUAAGAAAUGUCAUUUUUGGAGCUUUUUUGUAAAAAUCUGGUAACUUCAAGAAGCAGAAAACGAAAAGAAAGUCGAUCGUUGUGAUUAGAAAAUUAUGAAAACAGGUUGAGGCUGAAAAAUGUCCAGAGUUUUGCUUUAAACCGUCUAUAAUAAGCACUGACUGAUAUUAUCUUGCCCGACAAGUGUGUUGUGUGUUUUUAUGGUUUGGUUCUGUAUGCAAGAGAAUUAUCUUUACACACAUGCGCACACACACACAAAUACACUCACUCACACUCACACACACGUGCACACACUCAUACAGCUUGUGCAUUGGUUUGGUUGUUCUAUUUGGUAUGGUUGUACAUCUAAAAAGUUUUGCUUUUGGUUUUCAGUUUUGGCUUUUUCACAACAUUCUGGAUCAACUAAAAAAAACCAACUUAUUUUAUCUUGGAAGCUACAUUAUCACAGUUAUUUCCCACCAUUUAAAUAAAAUAAAUAAAUAAACAAAAACCUGGAGCACAACCGAAGAGACAAGAAGAUAUGAAAAUAGGUAACACGUCACCGAACCAAUCACUCCCCC
This is a long non-coding RNA of Amphiprion ocellaris (clown anemonefish), 6265 nucleotides long. The record is from Ensembl. Lineage: Eukaryota; Metazoa; Chordata; Actinopteri; Pomacentridae.